UUUGUCAAAAUAUUUUCAAUUGUGAGAUUGUCUAAUUUAGGGGGAGUUUGAAAUCUUUAAAAAAAAAUACUCCUAUGUUUAAAAGAUGUGGAAAGAGUUACAUCCAAAAGGAGUGUGAAAACUACCACCACAUGUAGGAAAGAGCUACUACCCCGGUCGUCCGGCAAAUGUGUGAAGCUACCACAUGAAGAUUAAAUUGAGUAAUCGAAAAAGGUUGAAAAAAAAAAUUUGAAUAUUUUAAAAUUUUCGGAGUUAUAAGGUGGUAAGUUGAAAAGAUGCUCAAAGAGCCACCUCCGGUGCCAUAUUAGUUAAAUCUCUAUUUUGAACAUAUUGC
RNAcentral lists this long non-coding RNA (334 nucleotides) under Ananas comosus (pineapple). RNAcentral's name for it is "long non-coding RNA (ACOM_LNC028163)". Lineage: Eukaryota; Viridiplantae; Streptophyta; Magnoliopsida; Poales; Bromeliaceae. The record is from RNAcentral.